Molecule: ribosomal RNA, 1272 nt
Filed under: uncultured Sulfurimonas sp.
Lineage: Bacteria; Pseudomonadati; Campylobacterota; Epsilonproteobacteria; Campylobacterales; Sulfurimonadaceae
Description: bacterial SSU rRNA
Rfam family: Bacterial small subunit ribosomal RNA
Source: RNAcentral
GGAUACUCCUUUUCAUUUAAUGUGAUUUGGGAAACUUUUUGGCUAAGGGAUCGGCCUAUAUUGUAUCAUCUAGUUGGUGGGGUAANGAGCUUACCAAGGCAAUGACACAUAGCGGGUCUGAGAGGAUGAUCCGCCACACUGGUACUGAGACACGGACCAGACUCCUACGGGAGGCAGCAGUGGGGAAUAUUGCACAAUGGGGGAAACCCUGAUGCAGCAACGCCGCGUGGAGGAUGACACAUUUCGGUGCGUAAACUCCUUUUAUAUAAGAAGAUAAUGACGGUAUUAUAUGAAUAAGCACCGGCUAACUCCGUGCCAGCAGCCGCGGUAAUACGGAGGGUGCAAGCGUUAUUCGGAAUCACUGGGCGUAAAGGGUGCGUAGGCGGUUUGGAAAGUCAGAUGUGAAAGCCUAUGGCUUAACCAUAGAACUGCAUUUGAAACUUCCAGACUAGAAUACUGAAGGGGCAGAUGGAAUUAGUGGUGUAGGGGUAAAAUCCGUAGAUAUCACUAGGAAUACCCGAAAGCGAAAGCGAUCUGCUGGGAAGUUAUUGACGCUGAGGCACGAAAGCGUGGGGAGCAAACGGGAUUAGAUACCCCGGUAGUCCACGCCCUAAGCGAUGAAUGCUAGUCGUCGGGACGCUUGUCGUUUUCGGUGAUGCACUUUAACAGAUUAAGCCAUUCCGCCUGGGGAAGUACGGUCGCAAGAUUUAAAACUCAAAGGAAUAGACGGGGACCCGCACAAGUGGUGGAGCAUGUGGUUUAAUUCGAAGAUACGCGAAGAACCUUACCAAGCCUUGACAUUGAUUGAAUCUUUCAGAGAUGAGAGAGUACUGGCUUGCCAGAACAUGAAAACAGGUGCUGCACGGCUGUCGUCAGCUCGUGUCGUGAGAUGUUGGGUUAAGUCCCGCAACGAGCGCAACCCUCGUCGUUAGUUGCUAACAGUUCGGCUGAGCACUCUAGCGAGACUGCCUUCGCAAGGAGGAGGAAGGUGAGGACGACGUCAAGUCAUCAUGGCCCUUAUGGCUUGGGCUACACACGUGCUACAAUGGGGCGUACAGAGAGUUGCGAUACCGCGAGGUGGAGCUAAUCUCAUAAAGCGUCUCUCAGUUCGGAUAGGACUCUGCAACUCGAGUCCUUGGAGCUGGAAUCACUAGUAAUCGUAGAUCAGCAAUGCUACGGUGAAUACGUUCCCGGGUCUUGUACUCACCGCCCGUCACACCAUGGGAGUUGAUUUCACCCGAAAUCGGGAUGCCAAACUGGCUACCGCUUACG